Molecule: ribosomal RNA, 438 nt
Filed under: uncultured bacterium
Lineage: Bacteria
Description: partial 16S ribosomal RNA
Rfam family: Bacterial small subunit ribosomal RNA
Source: RNAcentral
CUACGGGUGGCUGCAGUGGGGAAUAUUGCACAAUGGAGGAAACUCUGAUGCAGCAACGCCGCGUGGAGGAUGACACUUUUCGGAGCGUAAACUCCUUUUAUAUAGGAAGAAGAUGACGGUACUAUAUGAAUAAGCGCCGGCUAACUCCGUGCCAGCAGCCGCGGUAAUACGGAGGGCGCAAGCGUUACUCGGAAUCACUGGGCGUAAAGAGCGUGUAGGCGGAGUAAAAGUCAGAAGUGAAAUCCUAUAGCUUAACUAUAGAACUGCUUCUGAAACUCUUAAUCUAGAAUAUGGGAGAGGUAGAUGGAAUUUCUGGUGUAGGGGUAAAAUCCGUAGAGAUCAGAAGGAAUACCGAUUGCGAAGGCGAUCUACUAGAACAUUAUUGACGCUGAGACGCGAAAGCGUGGGGAGCAAACAGGAUUAGAUACCCGUGUAGUC